GAGGCUAGUGGAGACCGAGGGAGACAGGGUUUUGAGCUCCACUCAAGAGGGGGUAGAAUGGCUGCAGGGGACACUAGAAUGAAGCCACCAGCUUCCCCAAACAGGAGCAGCUUUCAGAAGGCAUGGAUGCCACGGAAAGGCUAAGUUGAUUGUCCCUCCCUGCAGGAGCCACCCCCUGUGCAGCACCCCGCUGCAGAGCCUGAUUGCUUAUUCUGGAGCAGUUUCUGCUUGUAAUUUGUUGGCUUAAAGGUCGGAAUGGACUUCUUAGGAAGACAGAUUUCCUUGUGGCCGCUCCUUGGGGACUGAGCUCUCAACACCAAUUGCCCCAGAUUUCAGCCCAAUUUGGGUCUUAGGUUUCCCCACUGGGGUGGGCGAGGCUCACAGAAGAAAACAGGCAAGUGCGGGGUGGCGGGCUGUGCGUCCAGAGGGCCAGGUGGGAAAAAGGAGUGACAGGGAUGCUGGCGGAGCCCCGGGGGGCAAGGAGAGAGGGCACUUUAUAAAUCAUCAGCUCCCUUUUAAAAAUGGAGUUUAACCUCCCUCAGUUUUGCUUUUGAAUUUAUCAGCAGCUUCAUUUCCCUGAGUAAUAAUUCAUUAUCUCAUUCCCAGCCUGAGGAGCGGUGCUGGGCCCAGAAGUGACAUUCCCGUCCAUACCUUUAAGUGACACUCUUAGCUGUGUCAUCUUCAGAUCAAUGUGAGCCUCAAGCCCCCCGCCCCUUGCAUCCGCACAUGCCCCUUGGACGUGGCUGUGCCCAGGUGCGGGUGCCCGACAGCCCCCCCCCCCCCGCCUCUUUUGCUGAUGUUCUUUCCACCAGAGUUCUUUUUGGGGCCCGAACUCCUCUCCAUUGGGAAGCGAGGCAGCUGUGGCGGCGGCGGCGGCGGCAGGGAGCUAGAGCCUUGCUGUUGGAGCCAGAAUCGAGAUAACUGCUACAGAGGGGAGGGAGCUAAAGGGAGGGUUGGAGGGGGCCACACGUGUCAGCUUAACUGGAGGAUCUGAAAAAGCUAUUUCAAUCCCGUCUCCAAGUGGGAGACUGGCAGAUGCCCUUCUGUGGAAUGAAAGUUUUGCUCUUCCUCUCCGUCUCCUCUGCCAAGGAAGAAAGCUCGACUAACAAGGGACGCGACGAUGCUUUUUCACUAGGAAAAAGUCCUUUCUCCCCAGAUCCCUUCCCUCCUCACAGCACAAAAGAGACCCUGUCCUAACGGCCAUCGUGGCAGCCUGGAAAUGAGGAUGGGGCGGUGUAUGAGAACCACCUGAUGCCCAAGGCGGGACCAAUUAAACUGGUUGCCGUGGGGAUGGGACCAGACAGCAGGGUGGUUCAAGUGCUCAGGUGAUGGCAGCCUGGGCCACGUCUGGGCAUCACUGCCCUACAGUCUUACUGCCCAAGCUCAGGCUGGGCUCUCUGCAUCCCUGGGAGCUUGUUAAAAAGGCUGGACCCAAGCCCCACGCCUGGCUUUAGGAAGCAGCAUCUGCAUUUUCAUCAAAUCCCCAGCUCUGUGCACCGGGUCCCUAGAACGAUGUGCACACGGUGUCUGGACCAAUGGCUGGCUUUAUCUGCACUUUUGAAGCUAAACCCAAUCAGAUUCUAAAGUCCAGUGGGUCCUUCCACUAAUAAUCUCAUCAUCCUUGCACUGGGAAGGCGAGAAUGCCGAACCAGGAAUCUCUAAAACACUGGACUGGAUUUUCUCCAGGUGCGUCCUGAUGCAUUCGCAGAUUCCAUCCCCCUGAGCGUAGGACUGGGGUCUCAUUUCCCAGGUCCCCGGACUGAGCAGGGCCAGGGGUUCAUGCCUCCUCAAGCAGCUUAACCUGGUGGAGGGACCGAAGCUUUCAGAUAUACAUUCAUCGACUGGGGACCAUGAGAGCCACCAUUUCUCAUCCAUGUAGUGAAAGUAUUAAUGGACGAUGAGAGUGAGGAGGGGAAUUGAUGGAGGUGUUGAAUAAAUUUAUGACACAUCCACAAAGGAAUACUACACAGCCAUUUAAAAUCUAUAUUUGCAAAGAAUAUUUAAUGACCUGGAAAAUGCUCACAAUACGAUAUUCAGUAAGAAUAAA
Hyaena hyaena (striped hyena) is the source of this 2047-nucleotide long non-coding RNA. RefSeq lists it as uncharacterized. The record is from RefSeq and is a predicted model, not a curated record. Lineage: Eukaryota; Metazoa; Chordata; Mammalia; Carnivora; Hyaenidae. The transcript is spliced from 3 exons.